GUGCCUAAUACAUGCAAGUCGAGCGAACGGACGAGAAGCUUGCUUCUCUGAUGUUAGCGGCGGACGGGUGAGUAACACGUGGAUAACCUACCUAUAAGACUGGGAUAACUUCGGGAAACCGAAGCUAAUACCGGAUAAUAUUUUGAACCGCAUGGUUCAAAAGUGAAAGACGGUCUUGCUGUCACUUAUAGAUGGAUCCGCGCUGCAUUAGCUAGUUGGUAAGGUAACGGCUUACCAAGGCAACGAUGCAUAGCCGACCUGAGAGGGUGAUCGGCCACACUGGAACUGAGACACGGUCCAGACUCCUACGGGAGGCAGCAGUAGGGAAUCUUCCGCAAUGGGCGAAAGCCUGACGGAGCAACGCCGCGUGAGUGAUGAAGGUCUUCGGAUCGUAAAACUCUGUUAUUAGGGAAGAACAUAUGUGUAAGUAACUGUGCACAUCUUGACGGUACCUAAUCAGAAAGCCACGGCUAACUACGUGCCAGCAGCCGCGGUAAUACGUAGGUGACAAGCGUUAUCCGGAAUUAUUGGGCGUAAAGCGCGCGUAGGCGGUUUUUUAAGUCUGAUGUGAAAGCCCACGGCUC
Molecule: ribosomal RNA, 584 nt
Filed under: uncultured Staphylococcus sp.
Lineage: Bacteria; Bacillati; Bacillota; Bacilli; Caryophanales; Staphylococcaceae
Description: bacterial SSU rRNA
Rfam family: Bacterial small subunit ribosomal RNA
Source: RNAcentral